GUCUUCGUGGCUCAGUUGGCUAGAGCGUUGGUCUCAUACUUCUAUGACCCAAUUACACAUUGGGAUAUCCAAAGGUCGUGAGUUCGAGCCUCACCGAGGACA
Molecule: transfer RNA, 102 nt
Filed under: Rosellinia necatrix
Lineage: Eukaryota; Fungi; Ascomycota; Sordariomycetes; Xylariales; Xylariaceae
Rfam family: tRNA
About the family: Transfer RNA (tRNA) molecules are approximately 80 nucleotides in length.
Source: Rfam by way of RNAcentral